Molecule: ribosomal RNA, 651 nt
Filed under: uncultured Actinomycetes bacterium
Lineage: Bacteria; Bacillati; Actinomycetota; Actinomycetes
Description: bacterial SSU rRNA
Rfam family: Bacterial small subunit ribosomal RNA
Source: RNAcentral
GGGGGUACGGCCUACCNGNCGACGACGGGUAGCUGGUCCUGAGAGGACGACCAGCCACACUGGAACUGAGAUACGGUCCAGACUCCUACGGGAGGCAGCAGUGGGGAAUAUUGCACAAUGGGCGAAAGCCUGAUGCAGCGACGCCGCGUGAGGGAUGACGGCCCUCGGGUUGUAAACCUCUUUCGGCAGGGACGAAGCGAAAGUGACGGUACCUGCAGAAGAAGCCCCGGCUAACUACGUGCCAGCAGCCGCGGUAAGACGUAGGGGGCGAGCGUUGUCCGGAUUCAUUGGGCGUAAAGCGCGCGUAGGCGGCUAUGCAAGUCGGUUGUGAAAUCCCAGGGCUCAACCCCGGGACUGCGUCCGAUACUGUAUGGCUAGAGGUAGGUAGGGGAGAUCGGAAUUCCUGGUGUAGCGGUGAAAUGCGCAGAUAUCAGGAGGAACACCGGUGGCGAAGGCGGAUCUCUGGGCCUUACCUGACGCUCAGGCGCGAAAGCUAGGGGAGCGAACAGGAUUAGAUACCCUGGUAGUCCUAGCCGUAAACGUUGGGUGCUAGGUGUGGGCGGAUAUCAACCCCGUCCGUGCCGAAGCUAACGCAUUAAGCACCCCGCCUGGGGAGUACGGCCGCAAGGCUAAAACUCANAGGAAUUGACG